CAUGCCGCGUGAGUGAAGAAGGCCUUCGGGUUGUAAAACUCUGUCCUCAUCCAAGAGAAAGANNUGUAGUAACUGGCCUNUCCAGGACGGUAGAUGAGGAGGAAGCCCCGGCUAACUAUGUGCCAGCAGCCGCGGUAAAACAUAGGGGGCAAGCGUUGUCCGGAAUCACUGGGCGUAAAGGGCGCGCAGGCGGUCUGUUAAGUCAGAUGUGAAAGGUUAGGGCUCAACCCUGAACGUGCAUCUGAUACUGGCAGACUUGAGUAUGGAAGAGGUAAGUGGAAUUCCUAGUGUAGCGGUGAAAUGCGUAGAUAUUAGGAGGAACACCAGUGGCGAAGGCGACUUACUGGGCCAUAACUGACGCUGAGGCGCGAAAGCGUGGGGAGCAAACAGGAUUAGAUACCCUGGUAGUCCACGCCGUAAACGAUGGGUACUAGGUGUCGGAGGUUUCAAGACCGUCGGUGCCGCAGUUAACACAAUAAGUACCCCGCCUGGGGAGUACGGUCGCAAGACUGAAACUCAAAGGAAUUGACGGGGGCCCGCACAAGCGGUGGAGCAUGUGGUUUAAUUCGACGCAACGCGAAGAACCUUACCAAGACUUGACAUCCUGCUGCCGAGNGAUGUAAUGUUGCUUUUCCUUCNGGACAGCAGAGACAGGUGGUGCAUGGUUGUCGUCAGCUCGUGUCGUGAGAUGUUGGGUUAAGUCCCGCAACGAGCGCAACCCUUGUCGUCAGUUGCCAUCAUUAAGUUGGGCACUCUGACNAGACUGCCGCAGACAAUGCGGAGG
RNAcentral lists this ribosomal RNA (784 nucleotides) under Peptococcus niger. RNAcentral describes it as "bacterial SSU rRNA". It matches the Rfam family "Bacterial small subunit ribosomal RNA", at positions 393 to 1169 of the family's 1533-position model. Lineage: Bacteria; Bacillati; Bacillota; Clostridia; Eubacteriales; Peptococcaceae. The record is from RNAcentral.